RNAcentral lists this unclassified non-coding RNA (929 nucleotides) under Sphingomonas sp. RNAcentral describes it as "partial contains 16S ribosomal RNA, 16S-23S ribosomal RNA intergenic spacer, and 23S ribosomal RNA". The stretch from base 321 to 394 matches the Rfam family "tRNA". Lineage: Bacteria; Pseudomonadati; Pseudomonadota; Alphaproteobacteria; Sphingomonadales; Sphingomonadaceae. The record is from RNAcentral.
GACUGGGGUGAAGUCGUAACAAGGUAGCCGUAGGGGAACCUGCGGCUGGAUCACCUCCUUUCUAAGGAUCGACGAGAAAGCGCACGGACGGUCUUCGGACUGCAUCGGUGGAAGGGCUUCUCCUCUUUCGUAUAGAACAUAUGCCGCCGUCCUCAUGUCCCUUCAUCCUGGAAAAAGCGCCGUCAGCGAGACGAAACAGCAAGCUGUUUUGCACGCUGACAAGCUCGGCCGGCAUGGCAGAGCGCGCCCAUAGGGCGCGGCUUUGCCGUGACCGACGGGUGCGCGUGCGUGCGACCUGUGGUCGGGUGCGCGUCAAGUUUGGGCCGGUAGCUCAGGUGGUUAGAGCGCACGCCUGAUAAGCGUGAGGUCGUAAGUUCAACUCUUACUCGGCCCACCAUCGCGUGUCGUGUUCAUCUCUAUGGGGCCUUAGCUCAGCUGGGAGAGCGGUUGCUUUGCAAGCAUCAGGUCAUCGGUUCGAUCCCGAUAGGCUCCACCAUAGUCCUGCAGGCGCAUGUCAGUGCUGCCGCGGGACGAGAGACGCGUACAGAUCAUCAUCCAGGGUGAAGACAUCAGUUUCCGGCGCAAGCCGGAAUAUCCAGGGUUCGCCUGACGGCGAGCCUUUGUUUGACAUUGUGAAUGGGUUUUAGAAAUCGAUGCCGCUUUGGCAUGGGUUUCGCAAAUGGCCUCCGGCAACGGAGAUCGCUUGCGAAAUGCCGUGCGGAGCAAAUUGAUGACUAUGCUGAGAAGAAUUCUUAUCCGCACCGGAAGGCGCAGGGUUUGCCGAGUGAACUGUGUUCCGCAAGGGAUGCAGGCAUUCAGCCCUGUCGUUGGUGGUGUGGACUCUCAAGCGUGAGGUAAGGGCAAUUCGUGGAUGCCUUGGCGCAUACAGGCGAUGAAGGACGUGGCCACCGCCUGCGAUAAGCUGCCGG